AUUGAACGCUGGCGGCAUGCUUUACACAUGCAAGUCGGACGGCAGCACAGAGAAGCUUGCUUCUUGGGUGGCGAGUGGCGAACGGGUGAGUAACAUAUCGGAACGUACCGAGUAAUGGGGGAUAACUAAUCGAAAGAUUAGCUAAUACCGCAUAUUCUCUGAGGAGGAAAGCAGGGGACCUUCGGGCCUUGCGUUAUUCGAGCGGCCGAUAUCUGAUUAGCUAGUUGGUGGGGUAAAGGCCUACCAAGGCGACGAUCAGUAGCGGGUCUGAGAGGAUGAUCCGCCACACUGGGACUGAGACACGGCCCAGACUCCUACGGGAGGCAGCAGUGGGGAAUUUUGGACAAUGGGCGCAAGCCUGAUCCAGCCAUGCCGCGUGUCUGAAGAAGGCCUUCGGGUUGUAAAGGACUUUUGUCAGGGAAGAAAAGGACAGGGUUAAUACCUCUGUUUGAUAGACGGUACCUGAAGAAUAAGG
This 475-nucleotide ribosomal RNA is filed under the name Neisseria subflava. RNAcentral describes it as "bacterial SSU rRNA". It matches the Rfam family "Bacterial small subunit ribosomal RNA", at positions 30 to 491 of the family's 1533-position model. Lineage: Bacteria; Pseudomonadati; Pseudomonadota; Betaproteobacteria; Neisseriales; Neisseriaceae. The record is from RNAcentral.